GGAUAUUUCACGUCAACACUGUGGUCGGUGCAAGCCGGAUGCGGAAUUCGCAUCGACCAGCCAUCCCCGGGAUCCAACCCCGGCUUACCUCAUUCGAAGGGGAACGCUCUAUCCUCUGAGCCAUCGCGACUCGAUACUACAUAUUAAGCAAAAUUCAUGAUUAAUCAUAUUUUUGUUGUGACGAUUACACAAGACCAAGUAAUCCUCAAAUUCACAGUAAUUUUUACAUGUCAAGUAUUAUUUCUUUGUUAUUUUCACUACUUCUAUGCUUUUGACCAUGUCGCAUUAAGAGCUUGUCUUUAUUUAAGUUAUUAAAUCAAUAACGUAAUCAAUUAAUAAGUUAAGUUAAAAACUAUUUUUUUCUCUUUUUUUAAAACAAACAAUAAUUUGUAAACAGCAACUUUAGUUUAUACUUCUAUCCCAUGUAUAUUUGUAAAAUUCUUAAUUAUUUUCAUUUUCCAACAAAUAGCUGGUCAACCAACUCACGUGACUCAUGUUCACCGUAAGUAGAAAUUAUAUGCAAACUAUUUUAAAACAUUUAAACUGUUCAUGAUUUGUUUGAAUUUUUACAAUGUUCGGAUAUCUUUAUCAUUCUACAAAAAGACUUUUCUUCCAUUAUAUUAUAUAAAAUUUAUACAAACCUAAAACAUCUUAUUUACAAACCAUAUAUUUUUAAGGACACGUUGGACAUUCUGACUACUUUCAAGUUUCUUCUGAUCACUCGUACAACGCAAGAAAAACAAUAUUCAUACUACCAUUUAAAUUGCAGAAUUAAGUAAUUUUGAUAAUAGUAAAAUUGGUAUUUGGAACCUUAUAGGAAAAAAAAUAUUUUAUAAAAACCUUCUUGAAAAAUUGAACUAUGAUUUAAUAAUUUUGAUAUUUCUGUUGAAUUUAUAGAUACUUUCGUGUUAUUUUUCUUUCAGUUUAAAUAUUUGAAAAAUAUAGCUACCAAUAGAAGCUAUUCUCAGAAUUUUUAAUUUAUGCCUAAAACAGAUCAUGAGCUCACAUGCAAAAGUCAAAGUAGCUCUAACUUGCGACUAUCUUAGAAUGCAAUAAAAGUAUCGCACUGCUUAUUUUGAUUAAAAAUUUCGACUUUAUUUCCUUUAAAAAAUAAUUUAUUUAUUUCACUAUUGAAGUGGGAUAUAAGUUGUCUCGUUGCUAGUACGAUGAUUUAUGUUAAGUUGUUGUAACUGGGAGAGUCAAGUUCCACACAAUAAAAAAGGAAAUUUCAAAAUUGAGCAAAAAUGUAUCAAACUAGCUCUUAAAUACAUAUAAUCGAAUUUGAAAAUUCCAUGUAUUCAAAAUUUAAAAGAAUGUACUUCUUUUUGUGCAAAAUACAUAGCUCAGCAGUGAUGCGGAGAGUAAAA
Parasteatoda tepidariorum (common house spider) is the source of this 1367-nucleotide non-coding RNA. The record is from RefSeq and is a predicted model, not a curated record. Lineage: Eukaryota; Metazoa; Arthropoda; Arachnida; Araneae; Theridiidae.